RNAcentral lists this ribosomal RNA (500 nucleotides) under uncultured eukaryote. Its description in RNAcentral is "SSU rRNA". It matches the Rfam family "Eukaryotic small subunit ribosomal RNA", at positions 53 to 557 of the family's 1831-position model. The record is from RNAcentral.
GCAUGUCUCAGUAUAAGCUUCUAUACGGCGAAACUGCGAAUGGCUCAUUAAAACAGUUAUAGUUUAUUUGGUGGUCAGCAAUUACAUGGAUAACCGUGGUAAUUCUAGAGCUAAUACAUGCGYCCAAACCCGACUUCGUGGAAGGGUUGUGUUUAUUAGAUACAGAACCAACCCAGGCUCCGCCUGGCCUUGAGGUGAUUCAUAAUAACCGAACGAAUCGCAUGGCUAUGCCGGCGAUAGACCAUUCAAGUUUCUGACCUAUCAGCUAUCGUCGGUAGGGUAUUGGCCUACCGUGGCAAUGACGGGUAACGGAAAAUUAGGGUUCGAUUCCGGAGAGGGAGCCUGAAAAACGGCUACCACAUCUAAGGAAGGCAGCAGGCGCGCAAAUUACCCAAUCCUGACGCAGGGAGGUAGUGACAAGAAAUAACAAUACAGGGCAUACAUGUCUUGUAAUUGGAAUGAGUAAACUUUAAAUCACUUUACGAGUAUCAAUUGGAGGG